CCUCCCAAGGUUUCUUCCUCAGUUCUGAGGGAGUUUUUCCUUGCCACUGUUGCCCCUGGCUUACCCACCAGGGGGUUUCUGUACAUUCUUACAGUCCUGUUGAAACUUUGUCUUUGAAAAGCUAACAAUUUCUAACAAUGAAAAGCUAAUUAAGCGUUAGGUUAAUAGAACUUAUCGACACCUUUGCUUCACCCCAAUGGGAAGGGCCAACAGUCAGAGAAAACACGAUAACACGGAACCUUUAGUGCAGUUCGAGUUCUGCAUUCUCAAUAAGAAAACAGCUACAAUCUUAAGUUUGUGCCAGCCUUCGUCAGAAAGACAGGUCAGAAGUAUUGGAACGCUACACGAUCAGAUCUGAAACCUUUGUUGUUUUGCAGCUUGCCUGUUCGCCUACCCACCUUAAAUUAAACCACCCUCAGAGAUGGAAGGUGGAUAUUUCCUAUCUGGCCAGGGAGAAGAUAUCCACAACUUUCAAAUCUGCUAAAGAGAGGUAGUUAGUUAAAUUAGUACCACCAGCCUCAGAACCCUGAUUGCAAUCUGAGCCUCGCCAGCAGAGUGGGAGCAGAUUUCACACCAAGGAGACCCGGCCUCACACCCAGAGCCACGCACUAGCCUGUGAGCAGAUCAACCAUCAAAAGGCUGCCAUACUCCACCCUCAGACGGCCACAAGACGCCUCCGUCCAAUCACUGACAGAAAGGCGCAUGCCCGCAUGGCCCGAAGAUGCCAUAUGCAUGAGCGGCGAGGAGACGAACCAACGUGUGAGCUCCAGCCUUCGAUAAAGCCGGUCUGGAAACGACCCUCUCUGGAAGUCAGCCCGACUCCCACAUCAGGACCCGUAAUUCCAGUAACCUCAUCUAUCCCCCACGGUCGUCAGAAUCUUAGACCAGGGUUGCAGAUGGGCUCUGGAAUUGCCAAUCUGCUGUGAAGAAGACAGACUUCAUUUCAGCCCUCGCAUCCUUCUAUUCACUGCACUUCCUGGCGUUGACGGAGACCUGGAUCACCUCCAUGAACUUGACGACUCCAACAGCCCUGUCUUUCACUUCUCCCAUACUCCACGGCAUUCUGGCAGGGGUGGUGGCACAGGCUACUUCAUUGAUGAGUUAGACACUCUACUGAGUCUCUUCUCCAUUGGUGAAACCCCACUCAUACUCUUGGGUGACUUCAACCUGCCAUCAGACAAGCUGCAGUCAUCCUGCCUCUUACCACUGCUAUCAUCCUUCGACCUCGCCCUCAAGCAGACUCCUCCAAUGCACAGAGCAGGCAAUGUUUGGACCUGAUAUUCACCAGACCUACCUCCACGCUGGAUGUGACAGCCAGCAAGAUCUUCCUCACCUGCCCCCUGGCUGAUUGGUAUCCUGCACAGUAACUGACAAGAACUAUAAAAGGCUGAGAGAAGGUGGAGGAAAUCCCAGCUCGACUCAGAUCUUCACUCCUACCAAUCUCUUCUUUCCAAGUUCUCACAUGAAGUUAUUGCUGCAAAGUCAUCUUUCUACAGAGGGAAACUGGAAGCAUCAGCAUCUGAUCCAUGCAAGCUCUUCAACAUCUUCUCCUCUCUUCUCAACCCUCCUCCUCCCCCUCCACCCUCUUCUCUCACCCCGGAGGAUUUUGUCACCUUCUUGGAGGAGAAGAUGCUGUCCUUCAACUGAUCAAAUCCAGUAACCCAACCACCUGCCCACUGGAUCCCAUCCCAUCUGCACUGUAUCAGUCAAUCUCCAAGGACCUACUGCCCUUCAUCACUUUUCUCCUCAAUAAGUCCUUGGCAUCAGAACCAGCUCCAGGACCCCAACCAGUCUGACUUCAAACCAGCGCACUCAACAGAAACUGCCCUCAAAGCAGUGACUGAGAAGCUCCAAUCAGCAAGAUCAGCCAAACUGUCAUCUGUCCUGAUCCUUCUUGAUCUCUUAGCAGCUUUUAACAUAGUCAGCCAUACUAUCCUUCUGGACAUCCUCACCAACCUUGGAAUCAUUGUCUAUUAGUGGAAGUGGUUCAAGACCUAUCCGGAGGAU
This is a long non-coding RNA of Pygocentrus nattereri (red-bellied piranha), 2007 nucleotides long. RefSeq lists it as uncharacterized. The record is from RefSeq and is a predicted model, not a curated record. NCBI's taxonomy places the organism in Eukaryota, Metazoa, Chordata, Actinopteri, Characiformes, Serrasalmidae. The transcript is spliced from 6 exons.